This is a non-coding RNA of Trichonephila clavipes, 72 nucleotides long. NCBI's taxonomy places the organism in Eukaryota, Metazoa, Arthropoda, Arachnida, Araneae, Nephilidae. The record is from the annotation of a GenBank genome assembly.
CCAUAAAUCGCAAUUGAUAGCGCAUUGGACUUAUAAUUCAAAGGUUGUGGGUUUGAAUCCCACCUAGCACGG